AACGCACCUUGCGCUCCUUGGUAUUCCGAGGAGCAUGCCCGUUUGAGUGUCGUGAUAUCAUCAGGCCGACCCCCUCCUUUGCUGGCGGGGGUUAUGCUUGGACUUGGAUGUGCUGCCGGACGGCGACGCCCGGCUCAUCCCAAAUGCAUUAGCUGGAUUUAAUCCUGGCUUGGACUUUUGUUCUCACUCGGCGUGAUAAUUAUCUACGCUUUGUACUGUCUGUGGAAUAUCUAUGAGUCUAGCUUCUAACUGUCCUCUGGACAAUCUUUCAAUCUUUGACCUCAAAUCAGGUAGGACUACCCGCUGAACUUAA
RNAcentral lists this ribosomal RNA (313 nucleotides) under uncultured fungus. RNAcentral describes it as "eukaryotic LSU rRNA". Lineage: Eukaryota; Fungi. The record is from RNAcentral.